UACGGAGGGGGCUAGCGUUGUUCGGAAUUACUGGGCGUAAAGCGCACGUAGGCGGCUUUGUAAGUCAGAGGUGAAAGCCCGGAGCUUAACUCCGGAAUUGCCUUUGAGACUGCAUCGCUUGAAUCCAGGAGAGGUGAGUGGAAUUCCGAGUGUAGAGGUGAAAUUCGUAGAUAUGGGGAGGAACACCGGUGGCGAAGGCGGCCACCUGGACGGAUACUGACGCUGAGACGCGAAAGCGUGGGUAGCAAACAGG
This 253-nucleotide ribosomal RNA is filed under the name uncultured bacterium. RNAcentral's name for it is "partial 16S ribosomal RNA". It matches the Rfam family "Bacterial small subunit ribosomal RNA", at positions 524 to 776 of the family's 1533-position model. The record is from RNAcentral.